Molecule: long non-coding RNA, 1178 nt
Filed under: Equus caballus (horse)
Lineage: Eukaryota; Metazoa; Chordata; Mammalia; Perissodactyla; Equidae
Description: lncRNA (ENSECAG00000041375.2)
Source: RNAcentral
AGUCGGAGUCUGGGAGGAGAGGGGACGUUUCCUAUCGAUCAACAUCCGCAGACAGGUAAUCAGGCCCCAGGCCAGGCGCUGAUCGCCCCGGCUGUGUCCAUCCAUCUCCUUCCUGCGGUGCCGAGACUGGGGCCGGGCCCCGAGCCACAGUGCCCGCCCGUCACGUUCCAUCUGGGCAGCUGGCAUCGGGGGUCUCAGGGCUGCUCCACGGACCGAGCCUCAGGAAGUCCGAGUGAGGGGGGGAGAGAGAGAGAGAGGAGAGAGACCGGAGCAGACAUAGAGCCACUGGACGGCCAGUGCGCGCAGGGCCCCGAGCUCGGAGCCACAGACAGACACAGCGAACAAAACCGACAGAAGGUGGGCAGCGCUGCCAGCAGAGAGAGACCCAGUGCAGGGCGCCGUGCCCUCCUCACGCGGAGUGGAUCUACUUUGGCCAUGAGGGUGAGGACCAUGCAUCCACCUUGUAGGAUUGCUCACUCAGUUCUUGCUGCUCUCUUACCAAAAGGGGCAGGAAGACCCUCAUUCCUUGUGAGCACUGUGAAACAAUCCACCACAUCAAGCGUGAGCCGAAUCAGCCCCUCAGGAUGCUCCGGAGGACUCACGUGCGCAUUCACUCCUCCACUGGGAUUCACAAGGAGCUGGGAUGUGUUGGAUCCUGUUCAAGUCACCGGAGACGAAGCAGAGAACGAACAAGGAGCCUGCCCUGGAGGAGCUUCCGUUCCCCUGGGGAAACAGAUGACGCACCAGCGAACCAAUGAAGGGGUCACAGCCAAGGUUGGAUACAGCCUCCGUGCUGUCCGAGACACGGGAACAGGGCUCCACAAGUGGUUCCAGAUGCCGCGGGCCCCAUGCAGAGAGGUUGCUGGAAACCAGAUGCCUCCAGGAAGCCACGGGCCAUGCUGCCCCCAGCACCACCCCUGAGUCCCACGGAGAAGGCUGCUGAGGAAUUCGGCCCCAGGCCAGGCAGGGUGUGCCUGGGACUCCAGCCCCUCCAUUCCCUGAUGACAAAAUCUUCUUCGACUGCUCAAGACGCCUUGGCAGAGGCUGCGCGUGCAGGCGCCAGUCUAUUCAAGUUUUGCGUUCUUAUGUAAAAAUCCAGAUCUCAGGCUGCCUUUGUGGAGACCACGCACGUGGCAACAUCAGGCUGGCAUCCUUGGGUAGUGACUGUACACACUACC